RNAcentral lists this ribosomal RNA (273 nucleotides) under uncultured bacterium. RNAcentral's name for it is "partial 16S ribosomal RNA". It matches the Rfam family "Bacterial small subunit ribosomal RNA", at positions 524 to 796 of the family's 1533-position model. The record is from RNAcentral.
UACGGAAGGGGCAAGCGUUGUUCGGAAUCAUUGGGCGUAAAGGGCGCGUAGGUGGUUUUGUAUGUCUCCCGUGAAAGGCCACGGCUCAACUGUGGGGUGUCGGGAGAAACUGCAGGACUUGAGGCUGGGAGGGGCUGGUGGAAUUCCCUGUGUAGCGGUGAAAUGCGUAGAGAUGGGGGAGAACACUCGUGGCGAAGGCGGCCAGCUAGACCAGUUCUGACACUGAGGCGCGACAGCGUGGGGAGCAAACAGGAUUAGAAACCCGCGUAGUCC